AGCAGUCGCCACGGUAAUACGUAGGGUGCAAGCGUUACUCGGAAUUACUGGGCGUAAAGCGUGCGUAGGUGGUGGUUUAAGUCCGUUGUGAAAGCCCUGGGCUCAACCUGGGAAUUGCAGUGGAUACUGGGUCACUAGAGUGUGGUAGAGGAUAGUGGAAUUUCCGGUGUAGCAGUGAAAUGCGUAGAGAUCGGAAGGAACAUCUGUGGCGAAGGCGACUAUCUGGGCCAACACUGACACUGAGGCACGAAAGCGUGGGGAGCAAACAGGAUUAGAUACCCGAGUAGUCCCUGUCUCUUAUAC
This 303-nucleotide ribosomal RNA is filed under the name uncultured bacterium. RNAcentral describes it as "partial 16S ribosomal RNA". It matches the Rfam family "Bacterial small subunit ribosomal RNA", at positions 507 to 807 of the family's 1533-position model. The record is from RNAcentral.